AAGACUGGAUAACUUCGGGAAACCGGAGCUAAUACCGGAUAAUAUUUCGAACCGCAUGGUUCGAUAGUGAAAGAUGGUUUUGCUAUCACUUAUAGAUGGACCUGCGCCGUAUUAGCUAGUUGGUAAGGUAACGGCUUACCAAGGCGACGAUACGUAGCCGACCUGAGAGGGUGAUCGGCCACACUGGAACUGAGACACGGUCCAGACUCCUACGGGAGGCAGCAGUC
This 227-nucleotide ribosomal RNA is filed under the name uncultured Staphylococcus sp. Its description in RNAcentral is "partial 16S ribosomal RNA". It matches the Rfam family "Bacterial small subunit ribosomal RNA", at positions 134 to 355 of the family's 1533-position model. Lineage: Bacteria; Bacillati; Bacillota; Bacilli; Caryophanales; Staphylococcaceae. The record is from RNAcentral.